This 253-nucleotide ribosomal RNA is filed under the name uncultured bacterium. RNAcentral's name for it is "partial 16S ribosomal RNA". It matches the Rfam family "Bacterial small subunit ribosomal RNA", at positions 524 to 776 of the family's 1533-position model. The record is from RNAcentral.
UACAGAGGGCUCAAGCGUUGUUCGGAUUCAUUGGGCGUAAAGGGUGCGUAGGUGGUCGGGUAAGUCUGAUGUGAAAUCUCGGAGCUCAACUCCGAAACUGCAUUGGAUACUAUUCGGCUUGAGAGUUGGAGGGGGGACUGGAAUUCUCGGUGUAGCAGUGAAAUGCGUAGAUAUCGAGAGGAACACCAGUGGCGAAGGCGAGUCCCUGGACAACUUCUGACACUGAGGCACGAAAGCUAGGGGAGCAAACAGG